RNAcentral lists this unclassified non-coding RNA (404 nucleotides) under soil metagenome. Its description in RNAcentral is "partial contains 5.8S ribosomal RNA, internal transcribed spacer 2, and large subunit ribosomal RNA". The stretch from base 1 to 122 matches the Rfam family "5.8S ribosomal RNA", at positions 35 to 154 of the family's 154-position model. The record is from RNAcentral.
GAUGAAGAACGUAGCAAAAUGCGAUACUUGGUGUGAAUUGCAGAAUCCCGUGAACCAUCGAGUUUUUGAACGCAAGUUGCGCCCAAAGCCUUUUGGCCGAGGGCACGUCUGCCUGGGCGUCACGCAUCGCGUCGCCCCCCACAAUUCUUCGUAAAGGGAACAUGUGUUUUGGGGGCGGAUAUUGGUCUCCCGUGCUCAUGGCGUGGUUGGCCGAAAUAGGAGUCCUUUCGAUGGACGCACGAACUAGUGGUGGUCGUAAAAACCCUCGUCUUUUGUUUCGUGCUUUUGCUCGCAAGGUAAACUCUUUAAAAACCCCAAUGUGUCGUCUCUUGACGACGCUUCGACCGCGACCCCAGGUCAGGCGGGACUACCCGCUGAGUUUAAGCAUAUCAAUAAGCGGAGGA